GGCAACAUUAUAAAUUCUUUUAUAAUUUUAGAAAUAAACCUCUCAACAACAUAUGUAAUUAUCACAAGAAGCUACACCAAUAGAAUGUCCUUUGAAUCGCAACGUUAUUAGGCAAUAAAAAAUAAGUUGAAGAGAACCCAAGUGAAGAUUUCGAAUUUAAAAGGACAUCCUUGCAUUGUUUCCGUUGAAUAUAAGUAUCAUUUAAAUUCUCUGUGCACUCAUAGAGGCUGGGCAUGCAUGAGGUCAUUCCUUUCUCCUUGAGAAGUCUAAUGACAAUACCACAUGGCAUUGAUGAAAUAUCGAAGAAAGAAAUCAACAAAAAUUAAUCUU
This 330-nucleotide long non-coding RNA is filed under the name Capsicum annuum. RNAcentral describes it as "long non-coding RNA (CANN_LNC011937)". The record is from RNAcentral. Lineage: Eukaryota; Viridiplantae; Streptophyta; Magnoliopsida; Solanales; Solanaceae.